UGACGGUAACUUACCAGAAAGGGACGGCUAACUACGUGCCAGCAGCCGCGGUAAUACGUAGGUCCCGAGCGUUGUCCGGAUUUAUUGGGCGUAAAGCGAGCGCAGGCGGUUUAAUAAGUCUGAUGUGAAAGCCCACGGCUCAACCGUGGAACUGCAUCGGAAACUGUCAUUCUUGAGUGCAGAAGAGGAGAGUGGAACUCCAUGUGUAGCGGUGGAAUGCGUAGAUAUAUGGAAGAACACCAGUGGCGAAGGCGGCUCUCUGGUCUGCAACUGACGCUGAGGCUCGAAAGCAUGGGUAGCGAACAGGAUUAGAUACCCUG
This 320-nucleotide ribosomal RNA is filed under the name uncultured bacterium. RNAcentral's name for it is "bacterial SSU rRNA". It matches the Rfam family "Bacterial small subunit ribosomal RNA", at positions 470 to 789 of the family's 1533-position model. The record is from RNAcentral.